AUCCAGCUGAUGAGUCGUAAAUAGGAUGAAACGUGCUUCGUCCUGUAU
RNAcentral lists this non-coding RNA (48 nucleotides) under Schistosoma haematobium. Lineage: Eukaryota; Metazoa; Platyhelminthes; Trematoda; Strigeidida; Schistosomatidae. The record is from RNAcentral.